This 971-nucleotide ribosomal RNA is filed under the name uncultured bacterium. Its description in RNAcentral is "bacterial SSU rRNA". It matches the Rfam family "Bacterial small subunit ribosomal RNA", at positions 8 to 953 of the family's 1533-position model. The record is from RNAcentral.
AGAGUUUGAUCAUGGCUCAGAACGAACGCUGGCGGCGUGGAUAAGACAUGCAAGUCGAACGCUGAUUAGAGGGUAGCAAUAUUCUCUAGUCGGAGUGGCGCAAGGGUGCGUAACACGUGGGUAAUCUGCCGUGAAGCCUGGGAUAACUCGCUGAAAGGCGAGCUAAUACCGGAUGAGACUGUUAGGGAGCAUUCUCUGACAUUGGAAGCUGGGGACCGUAAGGCCUGGCACUUCACGAUGAGCCCGCGGCCUAUCAGCUAGUUGGUGAGGUAACGGCUCACCAAGGCUAAGACGGGUAGCUGGUCUGAGAGGACGACCAGCCACACUGGAACUGAGACACGGUCCAGACACCUACGGGUGGCAGCAGUCGAGAAUUUUUCACAAUGGGCGCAAGCCUGAUGGAGCGACGCCGCGUGGGGGAUGAAGGGUUUCGAUCCGUAAACCCCUGUCAUUUGCGAACAAACCUAAGGCAAUAACACUGCCUGAGCUGAUUGUAGCGAAAGAGGAAGGGACGGCUAACUCUGUGCCAGCAGCCGCGGUAAUACAGAGGUCCCAAGCGUUGUUCGGAUUCACUGGGCGUAAAGGGUGCGUAGGUGGCCAGGUAAGUUCGGUGUGAAAGCUCGGAGCUUAACUCCGAAAUGGCAUUGAAUACUAUCUGGCUGGAGGGUCGGAGGGGAGACUGGAGUUCUCGGUGUAGCAGUGAAAUGCGUAGAUAUCGAGAGGAACACCAGUGGCGAAAGCGAGUCUCUGGACGACUCCUGACACUGAGGCACGAAAGCCAGGGGAGCAAACAGGAUUAGAUACCCUGGUAGUCCUGGCUGUAAACGGUGCACGUUUGCUGUAAGAGGAAUCGACCCCUUUUGUGGCGAAGCUAACGCGAUAAACGUGCCGCCUGGGGAGUACGGUCGCAGAUUAAAACUCAAAGAAAUUGACGGGGCCUGCACAAGCGGUGGAGUAUGUGGCUUAAUUCG